AGAGUUUGAUCCUGGCUCAGGAUGAACGCUGGCGGCGUGCUUAACACAUGCAAGUCGAAUGAUGAUCCCAGCUUGCUGGGGGAUUAGUGGCGAACGGGUGAGUAACACGUGAGUAACCUGCCCUUAACUCUGGGAUAAGCCUGGGAAACUGGGUCUAAUACCGGAUAUGACUCCUCAUCGCAUGGUGGGGGGUGGAAAGCUUUAUUGUGGUUUUGGAUGGACUCGCGGCCUAUCAGCUUGUUGGUGAGGUAAUGGCUCACCAAGGCGACGACGGGUAGCCGGCCUGAGAGGGUGACCGGCCACACUGGGACUGAGACACGGCCCAGACUCCUACGGGAGGCAGCAGUGGGGAAUAUUGCACAAUGGGCGAAAGCCUGAUGCAGCGACGCCGCGUGAGGGAUGACGGCCUUCGGGUUGUAAACCUCUUUCAGUAGGGAAGAAGCGAAAGUGACGGUACCUGCAGAAGAAGCGCCGGCUAACUACGUGCCAGCAGCCGCGGUAAUACGUAGGGCGCAAGCGUUAUCCGGAAUUAUUGGGCGUAAAGAGCUCGUAGGCGGUUUGUCGCGUCUGCCGUGAAAGUCCGGGGCUCAACUCCGGAUCUGCGGUGGGUACGGGCAGACUAGAGUGAUGUAGGGGAGACUGGAAUUCCUGGUGUAGCGGUGAAAUGCGCAGAUAUCAGGAGGAACACCGAUGGCGAAGGCAGGUCUCUGGGCAUUAACUGACGCUGAGGAGCGAAAGCAUGGGGAGCGAACAGGAUUAGAUACCCCAGUAGUCC
RNAcentral lists this ribosomal RNA (775 nucleotides) under uncultured Arthrobacter sp. RNAcentral's name for it is "bacterial SSU rRNA". It matches the Rfam family "Bacterial small subunit ribosomal RNA", at positions 8 to 796 of the family's 1533-position model. The record is from RNAcentral. Lineage: Bacteria; Bacillati; Actinomycetota; Actinomycetes; Micrococcales; Micrococcaceae.